UACGUAGGGUCCAAGCGUUAAUCGGAAUUACUGGGCGUAAAGGGUGCGCAGGUGGUUGAUUAAGUGUGAUGUGAAAGCCCCGGGCUCAACCUGGGAAUUGCAUUGCAAACUGAUCAACUAGAGUAUGGCAGAGGGGGGUGGAAUUCCGCGUGUAGCAGUGAAAUGCGUAGAGAUGCGGAGGAACACCGAUGGCGAAGGCAACCCCCUGGGCUAAUACUGACACUCAUGCACGAAAGCGUGGGGAGCAAACAGG
RNAcentral lists this ribosomal RNA (253 nucleotides) under uncultured bacterium. RNAcentral describes it as "partial 16S ribosomal RNA". It matches the Rfam family "Bacterial small subunit ribosomal RNA", at positions 524 to 776 of the family's 1533-position model. The record is from RNAcentral.